CGCUUGCGGAUCAUUUCCUUAUUGCGUUACCAAAUAUCAACAAGCAUUUCUGGCGCCGUUGCCGGGGAGAAAGACGGUUUGCUGAGAUAACUUUGAGUCUUGCUAUUAUCUUGUAUUAUACUUUUAUACUUUUAUUCUUUUAUCUUUUUAUUUUUAUCUUUAUGGAUAACUUAAAUUCCAUACCUAUUUUUGAAUUUUUUGCACCUUCGGAGACCAGCCAUAGACCAUGGGAGUCAACACGUCCUGCCCCUAAUUAUGAUCUGUGUCCGGAGUUGAUUGCAAUAGGUCAAAACCAACCCUUUUCUAUAGC
Molecule: long non-coding RNA, 310 nt
Filed under: Sorghum bicolor (sorghum)
Lineage: Eukaryota; Viridiplantae; Streptophyta; Magnoliopsida; Poales; Poaceae
Description: long non-coding RNA (SBIC_LNC006858)
Source: RNAcentral